This 22-nucleotide microRNA is filed under the name Magallana gigas (Pacific oyster). Its description in RNAcentral is "Mgi-Mir-184-P15u_5p* (star (passenger))". Lineage: Eukaryota; Metazoa; Mollusca; Bivalvia; Ostreida; Ostreidae. The record is from RNAcentral.
CCUCUCACACAUUCGUCAUAGU